Molecule: ribosomal RNA, 253 nt
Filed under: uncultured bacterium
Lineage: Bacteria
Description: partial 16S ribosomal RNA
Rfam family: Bacterial small subunit ribosomal RNA
Source: RNAcentral
GACAGAGGGUGCGAACGUUGCUCGGAAUGACUGGGCGUAAAGCGCGUGCAGGCGGCUCUGCAAGUCCGAUGUGAAAGCCCAGGGCUCAACCCUGGAAGUGCAUCGGAAACUACGGGGCUCGAGUCCUGGAGAGGAGAGCGGAAUUCCCGGUGUAGAGGUGAAAUUCGUAGAUAUCGGGAGGAACACCAGUGGCGAAGGCGGCUCUCUGGACAGGUACUGACGCUGAGACGCGAAAGCGUGGGUAGCAAACAGG